UCUUAUGUACAUUCCUACAACAUUAAUGCACCAAAUCCCAUUAGAACCUUGCAGUUAACCACACUUGGGCUACAUUAGUACUAUAAUGGGUGACCUCCCGAGAAGUACUAGUGUUUAACAUGC
Non-coding RNA from Picea glauca (white spruce), 123 nucleotides. Lineage: Eukaryota; Viridiplantae; Streptophyta; Pinopsida; Pinales; Pinaceae. The record is from Rfam.